Molecule: transfer RNA, 68 nt
Filed under: bacterium
Lineage: Bacteria
Description: tRNA-OTHER
Source: RNAcentral
GGGGCUGGCAUGGUGCACGGACCGCCUCCAAAGUGGAUUCCGUGGGGGUUCGAGUCCCCCCAGCUCCA